Long non-coding RNA from Quercus lobata, 513 nucleotides. RefSeq lists it as uncharacterized. The transcript has 2 exons. NCBI's taxonomy places the organism in Eukaryota, Viridiplantae, Streptophyta, Magnoliopsida, Fagales, Fagaceae. The record is from RefSeq and is a predicted model, not a curated record.
ACUUUGCUAAUUAUCAAUGUUUUAUGUUGUGGAUUUAGGAGGUUGAAUAUGGAAGCAUAUAGAUUUCUUGUCCUGGUGAUUGAAUAGUUUUGUGCCUUGGUAGAGGGGGAAGAGUGGGAUGACCCCUGUUUCUUACCAUUGGUUUGAUUGUUACACAAUUUUGGAAUGAAAUUUUGAAUUUGAACAUACCUGAAGUUGAAAUCAAUAGGUGAAGAAAAAGAGAUUAAGGCAUUGAAUUCGUAUUACAUUGGUUCAAUCUGGGCUCUUCAAUUCUAAUUCACCUACAGCCUUCAUGGGCCCAGGAAUAUUUUGAAUUCAUUCAAGAACAUCAUGCACAAAUGUUCCAUCCUCAUUCGGCCUCAUCCAAUCUAAACAUAAACUGAAUUAUUGACCUUGUAUAUAGAACUCUAUGCUCAGUUCAUGGAUGCAACAAAAACUGAUAGAUGAUGCUCCAUUCAACAUGAUGAAUGUAGCAUGUCAUGGAUGUCAAGCACUUAUGCAUGAACAAGAAAC